RNAcentral lists this ribosomal RNA (119 nucleotides) under Pteropus alecto (black flying fox). The record is from RNAcentral. Lineage: Eukaryota; Metazoa; Chordata; Mammalia; Chiroptera; Pteropodidae.
GUCUACAGCUGUGCCACCCUGAACAUGCCUGAUCUUGUCUAAUCUUGGAAGCUAAGCAGGGUCAGGCCUGGUUAGUACUUGGAUGGGAGACCACCUAGGAACACCAGAUGCUGUAGGCA